This is a long non-coding RNA of Solanum tuberosum (potato), 818 nucleotides long. RefSeq lists it as uncharacterized. NCBI's taxonomy places the organism in Eukaryota, Viridiplantae, Streptophyta, Magnoliopsida, Solanales, Solanaceae. The transcript is spliced from 3 exons. The record is from RefSeq and is a predicted model, not a curated record.
GAGUAAGUUUCUUUGAUAAAUUUUCUGAAAUUUGGGUUAAAUGUCUCGGAGCUUUUCUCCCAUUCUAUAAAGCUUUAGAAGAACCCCAAUAUACUAAAUCAAAGAUCUAUGAGUCUACUUUUCAACGCACUGAACCAUUUGUCCAUAUGACUUUAGAAUUGAGAGAUAUUAAGAUUUUAGUGAGACUGCACAAGCAGGCACGUGAAGGUGGGUCCCUCACCCCUUUGUCGGUUUAGCUUUAUAAGAUUUGGUUUCACUUCGUUUAAACUCAAUUUUUUCGACCAAGUAAUAAGAAAAACAGUCCUAAAUCCUCUCUAGAGGUUCCCCUAUCACCCAAGCAAAUGUUUACAAGAUUUCAAUGUGGUUUAACUCUCAGAUUGUUCAUAGAGAUUAUGUUACUCUUUCGUCCUCGUUGGUUGUGAUUUGCAGGAUUCUUCAUGGUGAAAGAGUCUUGUUCUUAGGUGGUGUUGCUGCUGUUUGGAGAUUACAUACUCCAAGGAAGGGGUGCAGUCCUCAUUAAUACUACAAGACCCAGAAUUGAGGUCCAGGUAGGGAUUCUAAUUUACCCCUCCACUAGGAUUUGUAUUUAGUUGUGAGUUGGUAAGCUCCACCUCUUCCUGGAGCUUUCAUAUGAUGUUUACUUUUGAUGUACAUUUCGGGUAUAAUCGGGGCCUUGUCUCGACCAGUGCUUCUGACACUCAUAGAGGCUAUUAUGGACAUAAUAUUCUGGGUUUCUUUCUGCCGCUUCCAGUUACCAGCCACGUAGGCUUGGCAUGUAUAGAUAUGUUUGUAUGUGUGUAUGUCCUCAAUUGUGGCCU